GUCUCUGUGUUUAUUUUGCUUUAUAUCAUUCAUGCAAAGUUCACAUUUAAUCACAAUUUAUCUUCCAUCAGAGGUCCUUCAUUAUUUGUUAACAAUUAGACUAUUUUUAUGUAACAGGUUAAUAUAUUUUGUUUUUCCUAUGAAUAUAAAACUAUUAGUGGAAAUACUAUUGGACAUGUUUUUCUAUUAGUGGAAAUAUUUGAGAUUUGAUGAUGAGAAUUUAAGUGAAAGCUUCAUGUUAGAAACUGUCUCUGAGUUUGUUUCACUUUUAUUAAGUUCAUUGUGGUUCUGCUUGAUGACUCUUGUGUUGUGUUCACUGAACCAGUUCUCCUCCUCACAGUCUCUUCACCAACCCUCUGCACCUGCAGCAGGCUGUUUUCACUUCAGUCUGACUGAGGGAGGUUUUUGUACGACUCUAAAUCACUGUGUGAACACUCCACCACCAUGAGCACCAAGACAGUAGUAAUC
Molecule: long non-coding RNA, 468 nt
Organism: Seriola dumerili (greater amberjack)
Lineage: Eukaryota; Metazoa; Chordata; Actinopteri; Carangiformes; Carangidae
Exons: 3
Source: RefSeq, a predicted model, not a curated record